CGUGAAUUUCCUGAUGCCUUAG
Molecule: microRNA, 22 nt
Filed under: Spodoptera frugiperda (fall armyworm)
Lineage: Eukaryota; Metazoa; Arthropoda; Insecta; Lepidoptera; Noctuidae
Description: sfr-miR-263b-3p
Gene: sfr-miR-263b-3p
Source: miRBase by way of RNAcentral